UCAAGUUAAAUUUCUUCAAAGGACUUCCGUUUCCAAGAAGGCAUUGGAAAGUUUUUGGAGCUUCAUUGAACGCAACGAUAAAAGUAUUCUCAACUGUUACGAGGCUUUAAUCGAUGAAGACGAGUUCGUAAAGAUGAUAUUUUAUGAUGCACUGUUUAUCAUGGAGCUCUUCUUGAGGAACUAUGAGAAGGAGGUGGAAAAAAAUUCGGACAUCAAAGACUUGUUGUUGAAAGAAACAUGGUCCGCUGGUCUACGGAGGGAUUUGAUCUUACUUGAAAACCAGAUCCCAAUGUUCGUGCUUGAAGAACUGUAUAAACCAUAUGAAAACCACAAACUAGCAUCAGAUGCCUCUGUUCCUUCUUUCCUUAAACUAGCUUGCUCCUACUUUGACAUUCCAUGGGACCCGCAGUUCGAGCAUAUAGAAAUCCCACACUUCACCGCUUUGCAAAGAUGCCAUAUGACCAAAACACAAAAUCCAUCAUCAAAGACCAAGAUCCCAACGUUGAAAAAAGUGUAUGGUGCCACAAGUUUGCAUGAAGUUGGUGUUGAGCUUAUAGUUGAACCUAAUCAAACUGCAUGUUUGCUUGAUGUUAAAUUUGACGGUAAAAAGCUUAAAAUCCCCAAAUUGACCGUGCACUCCAACACUGAAGCUUACCUUCGGAACGUCAUGGCGUUCGAGAUGUGCCAUUGUCCAGAUGAAGCCUACGUUUGUGCUUACAUAGAACUAAUGAAUUAUCUUAUUCCAACUGCCCAAGAUGUAGAACAGUUAAUAGAAGAAGGGAUUUUAAGCAAGGAAGGCAAAAACGAAGGAAGACUGGUUACCAUAAUAAACACAAAUAUAGCGGUGCAACGUAUGAUUAAGAAACUUAUGCAGGGAAUUGGGGAGCCACCUGCUUGCUACCGGGAAACCGCGAACCGAUUGAACCAGCUUUAUAAAGAGGGUCGGAAGCGCAAAGUGACAUUAUUCAUCAAGGAAAAUUAUGGAAUUCUGAAGCGUGUUUACUUCCCCAAUCUUUGGAGAGGAACAGGGACUGUUGCUGCUUUUAUGGUGGUCGUCCUCACCUGCAUACAAACCGUGUUUGCUUUUGUGAAUUAAUUUUUAGUAUUAUCGUGCUGGUGUGUUUUCAAUAAAAUACGAAUUCCUAUGCAUUUGUAUGUAAUGAAAGUAGUGAUUGAAGUUUUCAUGGUUUUGCUUUUAGUUUGGCAUUUGGCUACGGUCAAAUAUUUUAGUGUAUAUUAAGUUAUUAUCAUGCCAAAGUUGACAUUAUAUGCCCUAUCACCUAAUUUUUCUGGGUAUGUAAUCUUCAGUACCUGCUUGCACAAACCACACCAUCUGCUUAACUUAUCGUUGCUCCGUCACUCAACCCAACUCCUGACCUCUUCAUCUGCACCCAUCUAUCUAUAUAUCUAGUAAAGAAGGUUGAGGUUAAAGAUGAUCAAUUGAACAACUUAAGGGAGGAACAGGUUGUGGAUGGUAGAGAUUUAGUGAAUAAAGGAGAAGGAAAAGAAAGAAGGGAGAAAGGAAAAAGAAAGAAAAUCUCGCAUGUCAUUUAAGAAAGUAAGUAAUUAAUAUUCAGAAAAAAGAAGAAGGAACAAUUCUUCUUAAAUACUUGGCAUACUUUGUAUGUUAGCUACCUUAGUUUUGGCAUAAUUUUUACUAAGACAUAGCACUUAAAAUAACAAGUGAGCAGAAGUAUCCAUGUUCAUUAGUAGGUAUAAGCAAACUCAAAACAUAUCAAUUCAUCACUUUCACAUAACUUGUCUCAAUGUCAUAUUAUUCUAUCAUUAUCUAUAAUAACAUAACAACUUCACAUAGUUCAUUUUUAAUGUCAUAUUCCAUUACCGAUCUAUAAGAUUAUACUAAUUCCAUACAACUCCUUUCAAUGUUAUAUCAAAUUAUUUUAUCAACUCAUUUCAUUACAUUUUCAAGUUUUAUAUUCCAAUUAUCAUGUUUCGCCAGAUGGAACCUUAGUGAUACAUAGGUAAACUAUGCCAUACUAGGUUGCUCAUCCAAGCUAUAUAAUACUCGAUGAUCCGCAACAGAUGUUGAAUCUCAAUAUAACCUAUAAUAAUCUUCGUACAAUCACAUAUCCCGUUCCAGCACGCAUAUAACUCAAUGGGCAUCAAUUACACAUAUUUCAUUAUCAUCCCUAUAAUCAAUCAAUUUUAUACAUUUAUACUCUAUAGUCAUUCAAAUUUUCACAUUUAUCAUGCAAUAGUCAAUCAUCACAUGGCAUUCCAAUUCAUUCCAUUAGUAGCCAUAUAUGUCAAAUUCACUAAUAUUUUAAAUUAUACUCAAACAUAGAUAUAUCAAAUUAAACACAAGCACACAUAUCAUACAAAAAUGAGAUAGUAAAUUCCAUAUGAACUUACCUAUUCAAAACAAAACACUAGUCGAUUCUUUAGAGACUAAUCCUUAAUUUUAGCUUUUCCCCUAUUAACUCCACUUUGAACCAAAUCUUGAUAUAUACAAUUAUUUUAUAUAAAAAUUCAAUACCAAACAUUUUCAUACAAUUUCCUGAUAUGCAUGAUCCUAUAUAAAUUUAUUUUUUAAUUUCCCUCAUAUUUUAUGUUUUAUUCAAUUUAGUCCCUAAACUCGAGAUAGGCAUAACUUUCAAUUCCUAGCUUUGGAUUAAAAUAUGAUUUCAUAUAUUCUCGUUAGAGGCCUUAUAUUUUCUAUUUGUAACAUAAUUUCAUGACAGGUUUUACAUUUACUCAAUUUGGUCUCCAACAUAACAAAGUUAACAAACAAGCUAAUUUAACUUUAAAAUCUAGUCAUUUUCAUAUUCUAAGCUUAAAAUCUAUCAAUUUCAAACCAAAUUCUUUAAAUAAUCAACAAUGACAACUUUCUAAAACUUUAACAGAUUCACAAAUUGGUACAUGGGUUAGCUAUAUCAAGCUUUCAUGACCAUAAAUCUAUAAAAUUACAAGAAAAUAGCUUGAUUUCCAUACCUAUUUGAAUGUUCGAAUGACUAAGCCUUAAGAAUGGGUUUUCUCUUUUUCUUUCAAUGGUGAAUCAGCUAAAGAAGUAUGAAGAAGAUGGUAACCUUCUAUUUCUUUCCACUUAUCUUGUUAUUUAUAGUUUAAUUAGUAGCUAAUUAGCUUAAUAAAUCACAAUUAAUUAGCAUAAUCUAACUUUUAACUUCACUUAUUAGAGAUAGAAUCUUCCAUUAACUUUUACAUAAUAAUGGUUUAUUAACCAUUUCGGUCUUUUGGUUAAUUGUUAUCUAGGUCCUCAAGCCUUUUUUUAAUUAAAACUCUAUAAUGAUUGGACUUUACAAUUUUUUCCUGGAGCCUUAAUUAACUAUUAAUUUGACAAUUCAAUAUAUUUUUAUAUUAGCUCGGUAAAUAUUUGUAACACCCUUACCCGACUUGUUCUCUGAGUCUGAGUUUCGGAUGAUACAAAUCCUGAAUAUCUGGCUAACACAUUUGAAUUUUAUUCUCAACUAAUUAACAAUACACAAUAGUCAAUAGUAGCAUAUACACCUUUUAAAAUCGCUAGUUCACAACUUCAUUUAAAACUUUGACUUUAAAACUUGAAAAUUUUAGAACUUGACUAAAACCCCAAGGUAUAACCUCUAAGAGCGCCCCUCUAUAUGCAUGUUAUGACUAUCCCUCCCUUUUUCCUUCAAGUUGGCAAAGUCUGGCUUAGCCCUCCACGCAAUUUCCAAGUGAAAGCUUAUUCCUGCAAUUAAGCAUACUGUUGGUUAGUUCGAUAGAACUUAGUGAUCUUUUGCACGUCGACCAUAUAGCUAAAUUGAAAUUUAAUAAAUAAACCCUAAAAGGAUAUUUUUCCACUCUCUGGUGACCAUUGGCCAUUAGCAGAUUAUUUCAAUGUGUCUUUCUCUUCGCUUUUUUCCUAAAGCCCACCGCUGACUGACUCCUUCAUAAUUUGUAGCAUACACAAAUUCUAUCCAAGGUAGGGGUUCACGAGGAAUACAGAAUUGAACACACCUCAUCCAAGAUUCUUUGUUUCCCCCUUUCGCCACCUUGGAUAAAAGAUUCCCAUGUCAACCAUUAACUAACGAACAUUGGCUUAUUGGGUUUAAAAUUCCGAUCUUCCCUUUUUCCUAGCAAACUAUUUACCCCAGAUAAACCUUAAGCGAGUUCCUUCCUUGUCAUUCCUAGUGACUUAGCCCUUACCCAUGGACCCUGAAGUUUCACUCAUUCAUUUGGUACAUCCUCUAAUUGAAAAAGCCUUAGGUUCUAUUCCAUUUGGCGUUCUUUGCCAAACUUCAUCACCAAGCUAUGAUUUUUCACCUUGUGAAGUCCCAUUUUCACCAUAUCGGUUGAGUCUUCAUGACGUCACAAUCGAGCUACAGUUCUUCACUCUUUUACCCCAAGUUAAAUGUCUCAAUAGAUUUUUCCAAGUCUUCUAACCUGAUAGGUUGCACCAUGUUUUCUAUCCUAACACACUCUAUAUGCUGACAUAAUCGAGCUAUAGACUUACACAGUAGACCCCAUGUAAACGUUAUUAUACAAAAUUGACAUAUGAAAGUAAAAGUUAUUAUUAAAAUCAGAAAGGGAAAAAUACAUUAACCCUUUAAUAUAUUAAAUUAGGAGACAUUAACAGCUAACUAAAUACAUUUUAAGAUUCAAUUUAUAAACACCCACCAAUGCCACCUUUUCUAAUAUUUUUGUUGAUGUUUAGUUGGAAAAAAUUAAACCAACUUAAUCCAAAUUUGCAUCUAUAUAAAUGCCCUUAGCCACUCUGAUCGAUUUCAAGGAUUCACUUAUUAUCUAGUAACUAGUUCUUCAACGUUUCCCUUCCAUUUCUCUCCGUUUUCAAAUCCAGGCUUCAGCAGCCAAUUCUAGUAUUGGAAGCCAAAGGUUAUCGGAUUCCCUGUAAGUUUUAAGUCUCUAUGUGUAUGAUCUACAGUAGUCAGUAACAUACUAGUAUUGGUCUGGUCAGUACAUACUGAUUUCAAAGCACUGUAAUGUUGCAUGCCACAUAACGAUACUAAAAUCAUUUUUCAUUCAAUAUAUAAAUAAAGUUUAUUGCUAACUUGAUAUGUAUGCUUGAUACAUGAAAAAGUAGGUGCAAGAAAUGGCUCCAAGGAAGGGACAAUUAGGCUCAAUUAACGCCCCAUCAUUUGAGACAAAGAAAGAUGAAGCACCUAGUGGUUCGAAAGUUGAUGAUUUGGAGCGGGGACCGGACUAAGGGUUUAUCUACGAGGUCCCUAGGAACAUUCGUCAAGCAAAUCCAAAAGCUUACACUCCUCUAUUAAUUUCAAUUGGUCCUCUUCAUUAUCGGAAAACAAGUUUGCUAGCAUGGCCAAGUAUAAAGUGGAUUAUAAAGAUAAAUUUCUUCAAAGGACUUUCUUUUUCGAGAAGGCAUUGGAAAGUUUUUAGAGCUUCAUUGAACGCAACGAGAAAAAUAUUUUCAGCUGUUACGAGGCUCUAAUCGAUGAAGACGAGUUCGUAAAGACGAUAUUUUAUGAUGCAUUGUUUAUCGUGGAGCUCUUCUUGAGGAACUAUGAGAAGGAAGUGGAAAAAAAUUCGGACAUCAAAGAC
RNAcentral lists this long non-coding RNA (5514 nucleotides) under Gossypium barbadense (sea-island cotton). RNAcentral's name for it is "long non-coding RNA (GBAR_LNC022641)". Lineage: Eukaryota; Viridiplantae; Streptophyta; Magnoliopsida; Malvales; Malvaceae. The record is from RNAcentral.